Molecule: non-coding RNA, 89 nt
Organism: Spirochaetaceae bacterium 4572_7
Lineage: Bacteria; Pseudomonadati; Spirochaetota; Spirochaetia; Spirochaetales; Spirochaetaceae
Source: Rfam
GGCCACACCCGUUCCCAUACCGAACACGGAAGUUAAGCCAAGUUGCGCCGAUGGUACUGCGUUAGUGGGAGAGUAGGUGAUCGCUAGAC